CACUAGCUUGCCCAGAGUUACUCAGCUAAUAAGCAGCUGAGCUGGGACUCCCACUCAGCAAUGCAGCUCCAGGCCUGGCUGCUAACCCCUUCUUCCUUCUUGGCAGCUGCCUUCACAGAGGAAUUCAAGAGAUCUGUCUAG
Molecule: long non-coding RNA, 141 nt
Filed under: Canis lupus familiaris (dog)
Lineage: Eukaryota; Metazoa; Chordata; Mammalia; Carnivora; Canidae
Description: lncRNA (ENSCAFG00000045800.2, ENSCAFG00845009453.1)
Source: RNAcentral